GACGAACGCUGGCGGCGUGCUUAACACAUGCAAGUCGAACGGAAAGGCCUUGUUCUUGUGGGGUGCUCGAGUGGCGAAAGGGUGUGUAACACGUGAGUAACCUGCCCUUGACUUUGGGAUAACUUCAGGAAACUGGGGCUAAUAUCGGACAGGAGCUCCUGCUGCAUGGUGGGGGUUGGAAAGAUUCGGCGGUUCGGGAUGGACUCGCGGCCUAUCAGCGUGUUGGUGGGGUAGUGGCUUACCAAGGCUUUGACGGGUAGCCGGCCUGAGAGUGUGACCGGCCACAUUGGGACUGAGAUGCGGCCCGGACUCCUACGGGAGGCAGCGGUGGGGGUUAUUGCACGAUGGGCGGAAGCCUGAUGCAGCAACGCCGCGUGCGGGAUGACGGCCUUCGGGUUGUAACCCGCUUUCGCCUGUGACGAAGCGUGAGUGACGGUAAUGGGUAAAGAAGCACCGGCUAACUACGUG
This 468-nucleotide ribosomal RNA is filed under the name uncultured bacterium. RNAcentral describes it as "partial 16S ribosomal RNA". It matches the Rfam family "Bacterial small subunit ribosomal RNA", at positions 28 to 507 of the family's 1533-position model. The record is from RNAcentral.